GACGAACGCUGGCGGCGUGCUUAACACAUGCAAGUCGAACGGAAAGGCCCUGCUUGCAGGGUACUCGAGUGGCGAACGGGUGAGUAACACGUGGGUGAUCUGCCCUGCACUUCGGGAUAAGCCUGGGAAACUGGGUCUAAUACCGGAUAGGAGCCAUUUUUAGUGUGAUGGUUGGAAAGUUUUUUCGGUGUAGGAUGAGCUCGCGGCCUAUCAGCUUGUUGGUGGGGUAAUGGCCUACCAAGGCGGCGACGGGUAGCCGGCCUGAGAGGGUGGACGGCCACAUUGGGACUGAGAUACGGCCCAGACUCCUACGGGAGGCAGCAGUGGGGAAUAUUGCACAAUGGGCGCAAGCCGUAUGCAGCGACGCCGCGUGGGGGAUGACGGCCUUCGGGUUGUAAACUCCUUUCGCUAGGGACGAAGCUUUUUGUGACGGUACCUAGAUAAGAAGCACCGGCUAACUACGUG
This 465-nucleotide ribosomal RNA is filed under the name uncultured bacterium. Its description in RNAcentral is "partial 16S ribosomal RNA". It matches the Rfam family "Bacterial small subunit ribosomal RNA", at positions 28 to 507 of the family's 1533-position model. The record is from RNAcentral.